Molecule: ribosomal RNA, 1235 nt
Filed under: metagenome
Description: bacterial LSU rRNA
Rfam family: Bacterial large subunit ribosomal RNA
Source: RNAcentral
AGAGUACGAGAUGCUACGGCAUCGAAGCAGUCUAUGUCAUACUUCCAAGAAAAGCUUGCACUGUCAUAAACAAAGAAUGCCUGUACCAUAACCGACACAGGUGGGUAGGUAGAGUAUACUAAGGGGCGCGAGAUAACUCUCUCUAAGGAACUCGGCAAAAUGACUCCGUAACUUCGGGAGAAGGAGUGCCUUAUUUCUAAGGUUGCAAUAACAAGAUCCAAGCAACUGUUUACCAAAAACACAGGUCUCCGCUAAGUCGUAAGACGAUGUAUGGGGGCUGACGCCUGCCCAGUGCCAGAAGGUUAAAGAAGUUGGUUAGCAUUAGCGAAGCUGAUAACUGAAGCCCUGGUGAACGGCGGCCGUAACAAUAACGGUCCUAAGGUAGCGAAAUUCCUUGUCGGGUAAGUUCCGACCCGCACGAAAGGCGUAAUGAUUUGGAUACUGUCUCGGAGAGGGGCUCGGUGAAAUAGACUUGUCUGUGAAGAUGCGGACUACCUGCACCUGGACAGAAAGACCCUAUGAAGCUUUACUGUAACUUGAGAUUGAAAUUGGACUUUAUUUGCGCAGUAUAGGUGGGAGGCGUUGAGAAUAAUCUUGCGGGAUUGUUGGAGCCAUCAGUGAGAUACCACUCUUGUAAUGUUAGAUUUCUAACUUUGUAUCAUUAUCUGGUCAAAGAACAGUUUCAGGCGGGCAGUUUGACUGGGGCGGUCGCCUCCCAAAGGGUAACGGAGGCGCACAAAGGUUUCCUCUGAACGGGUAGAAAUCGUAUCUAGAGUGUAAAGGCAUAAGGAAGCUUGACUGUGAGACCUACAAGUCGAGCAGGGACGAAAGUCGGUCUUAGUGAUCUGACGGUGCUGAGUGGAAAGGCCGUCACUCAACGGAUAAAAGUUACUCUAAGGAUAACAGGCUGAUCUCCCCCAAGAGUUCACAUCGACGGGGAGGUUUGGCACCUCGAUGUCGGCUCAUCGCAUCCUGGGGCGGUAGUCCGUCCCAAGGGUUGGGCUGUUCGCCCAUGAAAGCGGUACGCGAGCUGGGUUCAGAACGUCGUGAGACAGUUCGGUCCAUAUCCGGUGUAGGCGUUAGAAUAUUGAGAGGAGCCUUCUCUAGUACGAGAGGACCGAGAAGGACAUACCUCUGGUGUACCAGUUAUCGUGCCAACGGUAAACGCUGGGUAGCUAUGUAUGGAGUGGAUAACCGCUGAAAGCAUCUAAGUGGGAAGCCCACCUCAAGAUAAG